GGAGAGCAGUGAUUCUGUUCGUUAUGCUCAUGGAGGUGCCUCAUGCCUGUAGCAGUGUGGUACACAGUAGGUGUUUAAUCAGUGCCUGGUACACAUUAGGCGUUUAAUCAGUGCAUGACUUCAGCUUAAAGCGACCUUGAUGCACAAUCCCUUCACCACCCAUUCCUCACCCCCGCCCUGCUGUGUGAUUUUCCCCACAGGCGAGGGAGAAGCUGCCAUCCCCCUGCAGGGAGUGUCUGGCGGAGAGUCAGCCACCCCCAGCACUCCUUCGGCCGUCAAAGUCAUCAGGAAAGAGCUUAUUCCCUGCUAUCCCUGUGGCCUCCAAGAUAAAACCCGGCCUCAGUUUCCGUGCAGGUUAUUGGCACUCCGAUCUGUCCCUGUGGUGAAAGCAGAUUUAUGGGUGUCAGUGCUCCUUGAAGGGUGUCCACCAGCUGUUCCCAGCCUGCACCAAGGGAAGCACAGAAGUUGAGAAGACCUAUACGGCAAUUCGAUGGUGCCACAAUUGGUGAUCAACGGCCUAGAUCCUGCAUUUUUAUUUUUAUUUUUAUUUUAUUAUUAUUAUUUUUGAGAUGGAGUUUCACUCUUGUUGUCCAGGCUGGAGUGCAAUGGUGUGAUCUUGGCUCACUGCAAUCUCCACCUCCUGGGUGCAAGCGAUUCUCCUGCCUCAGCCUCCUGAGUAGCUGGGACUAUAGUCACGCUCCACCAAGCCUGGAUAAUUUUUGUAUUUUUAAUAGAGAUGGGGUUUCACCAUGUGGGCCAGGCUGGUCUCGAACUUCUGGCCUCAAGCGAUCUGCCCUCCUUGGCCUCCCGAAGUGCUGAGAUUACAGGAGUGAGCCACUGCUCCUGGCCCCUCUUCUGUUUGAGGGUGAUGUCUGAUUAAACUUUGUUCAGUAAACCCAGAAAAUCAUCUUUAUUGCCAUGUAACAACCAGCUGAAAGAAGAAAGAAGGAAAGGAAGGGCAUAGCUGCUGCUGGAGAAGGGACAAAGACCCAAGAGCUGAGCGUAGGGUAGUGUCAGAGGCAUCUUAACCAGAGUGACGCCAUCUUUAAUAAAGGCCCGACAAAGCCAAACCUGCCGGUGACAUUCCCAGGGUGUUGGGCCCUUUCGGUCAUAAGAUGUUUAUGGUCAAGGAACAAGUUAAUGAUGUUAACUAGGCCAGGCGCAGUGACUCGCGCAUGUAAUCCCAGCCCUUUGGGAGUCCAAGGUGGAUGGAUCACGAGGUCAGGAUAUUGAGACCAUCCUGGCUAACACGGUGAAACCCCGUCUCUACUAAAAAUACAAAAAAUUAGCCGGGCGUGGUGGCAGGCGCCUGUAGUCCCAGCUACUCGGGAGGCUGAGGCAGGAGAAUGGCGUGAACCCGGGAGGCGGAGUUGCAGUGAGCCGAGAUUACAUCACUGCACUCCAGCCUGGGCGACAGAGCCAGACUCCGUCUCAAAAAAAAAAAAAAAAAAAAAAAAAUUAGCCAGGCGUGGCGGUGGGCACCUGUAGUCCCAGCUACAUGGGAGGCUGAGGCAGGAGAAUGGCAUGAACCCGGGAGGCAGAGCUUGCAGUGAGCCGAGAUCGCACCACUGCACUCCAGCCUGGGUAACUCCGUCUCAAAAAAAAAAAAAAAAAUGAUGUUAACAAAUGUAAUAAAGAUCCAGAACUCAUGGAAAUGACCCAGUGCUUUAAGAACAAAAAUCAUGUUUAGUUUAAGAAUAGGUUUUGCUUUAAAAAUAAUAAGACACUCUUAAAUUCUUGCUGAAAUCAACAGUAAUGUAGGGAAGUAACAAUACUAAUAGCCAGUCACAAGCUGAUCACAAGCCUUUGAAAUAAAGUAUAUUAUUCCU
Molecule: long non-coding RNA, 1829 nt
Filed under: Macaca fascicularis (crab-eating macaque)
Lineage: Eukaryota; Metazoa; Chordata; Mammalia; Primates; Cercopithecidae
Description: lncRNA (ENSMFAG00000047018.2)
Source: RNAcentral